This 553-nucleotide ribosomal RNA is filed under the name uncultured bacterium. RNAcentral describes it as "partial 16S ribosomal RNA". It matches the Rfam family "Bacterial small subunit ribosomal RNA", at positions 355 to 898 of the family's 1533-position model. The record is from RNAcentral.
UAGGGAAUCUUCCACAAUGGACGCAAGUCUGAUGGAGCAACGCCGCGUGAGUGAAGAAGGUUUUCGGACCGUAAAGCUCUGUUGUUGGUGAAGAAGGAUAGAGGUAGUAACUGGCCUUUAUUUGACGGUAAUCAACCAGAAAGUCACGGCUAACUACGUGCCAGCAGCCGCGGUAAUACGUAGGUGGCAAGCGUUGUCCGGAUUUAUUGGGCGUAAAGCGAGCGCAGGCGGAAGAAUAAGUCUGAUGUGAAAGCCCUCGGCUUAACCGAGGAAUUGCAUCGGAAACUGUUUUCUUGAGUGCAGAAGAGGAGAGUAGAACUCCAUGUGUAGCGGUGGAAUGCGUAGAUAUAUGGAAGAAUACCAGUGGCGAAGGCGGCUCUCUGGUCUGCAACUGACGCUGAGGCUCGAAAGCAUGGGUAGCGAACAGGAUUAGAUACCCUUGGUAGUCCAUGCCGUAAACGAUGAGUGCUAAGUGUUGGGAGGCUUCCGCCUCUCAGUGCUGCAGCUAACGCAUUAAGCACUCCGCCUGGGGGAGUACGACCGCAAGGUUGAA